UUGUGUUUUCUCCCCGUGGCGAUGGCAGCCUCUUCUUUGCAUCCCGCUAGCCUUCGCGCCCCCUCCCCCCCCAAACGAUAGCCUUCUCCUUCACGUUUUCCCCCAGGUGCUAAUCUUCUCAUUUUUCCUUGAUGCAAAGCCUUCGCGUUGAGGUGCCUUCACUUCCUCUCCUCUCUACAUGCUAGGUUUCUUCCCUCUCCGCCCCCUUCUUUCCUUUCCUCUCUGCUUGCUUCACCGUCGCUUAACUGGUAUCAUUGCUGCUUGAGGAACCUGCCUCUUUCUACCCACAACCCCCUGGAGCAUUGAAUUUGAGGGUGUUCAUCGGUUAUUCCAUUUACAAAGGGAAGACAACAUUCACAGUGGAUCCAUGAGCCCCUGAAUUCACCCCUCUUGAAGUCAUUUCUUUGUCCAUACCUGAAAUUGGCCAUCUGAUGAGUCUCAGUGCAAUGGAUUGUUGUGAAUUUUUUCAUGAUCCAUUCAAGGGAAGAAAUGAGGAAGUCAAGAUAAGGAAGAUUUUAAAGGUCGAACUUCUUCCAGAUGGCACCAGAUAUUUCUUUAAUCUUGGAUAAUCUAAAACAAAAGGAUGAUGUUGAACGUGGAUAUUGUAUAAUGUGGUACAUGAAAGAGAGAGUCUUGGAUGAAUAUCCACAAUUGGAGAUGAAGGAGUCGAAUUUGGAAGAGAAUUGAUAUUCGUGGCCAACUCUACAAGCAAGUGAAGGAAUAUAACAUUAGCCAUGUGAGCCACAUGACCAUGCCAAGGGAAAAUGACCUUGGCCGUGUGGAGCAGACAGCUCGUGCAGCAUUAGCAGAGGAGAAGCAUGACAUGGCCAUAUGGAUUCACACGACCGUGUCAUCCCUGAAGCAAUUCCAGAACAAGGUCGUGUAGAUCUACACGACCGUGCAACCUUUCCAGAGCCAAAGCACUGCCAGGCCGUGUGUGUCACAUGGCCGUGUGACACUUCCAGAGACAAGGAUUGGCUAAGUCGCGUGGAUCUGCACGACCGUGCAAGCUAGCUAGAGACAAAGCAUGGCACGACCGUGUGAGAUUCACACGGCCGUGUGACUCUGGCCGAGAGGGAAGUAGGCAAGGCCAUGUGAGAUUCACACGGCCGUGCCACGGGUCGUGUGACGCCCAAACCCCCUGCUCUAUAUAAGGGUUUCUCCUCCUUUGAAAGAGAGGAGGCUCUCCCUUUGGGGAGAUGGAAUCUUGAGGCUUUUCUUCAUCUUUCGGGUGUUAAUCCGAUGAUCUCAAGAUGGUUCCAUUCUCGAAUCAACUCCGGUAGCAAGGAUUGGUUUCGAAGAUUACUCAUUGUAUCUAGAUAAGCAUUUCUUUUUUAUCUUCUUGAUUUGGAUCAAAAUGUUUAUAAUCUUCUUGUUUUCGGAUCUUUUCUUUUGUAUCAUAGAGUAGAUCUCCUUGUUCUAGGAUGGAGAGAGUAUUUGUGAUGUAAAUUGAUGUAAGAUCUUAAGGAUUUGCCAACUUCUUGAUUCAAUGAUGUUUUAUGUUUUGUAUUAAUUCAAUCUUGUAUGGAUUA
Long non-coding RNA from Zingiber officinale, 1532 nucleotides. RefSeq lists it as uncharacterized. The transcript is spliced from 6 exons. Lineage: Eukaryota; Viridiplantae; Streptophyta; Magnoliopsida; Zingiberales; Zingiberaceae. The record is from RefSeq and is a predicted model, not a curated record.